AUUUAUAUAGUUUAAUUAAAACUUUGAUUUGUGGUGUCAAGGAUGUAUUAAUAGUACUUUAAAUA
RNAcentral lists this transfer RNA (65 nucleotides) under Promethis valgipes. Its description in RNAcentral is "tRNA-His". Lineage: Eukaryota; Metazoa; Arthropoda; Insecta; Coleoptera; Tenebrionidae. The record is from RNAcentral.